This 460-nucleotide ribosomal RNA is filed under the name uncultured bacterium. RNAcentral's name for it is "bacterial SSU rRNA". It matches the Rfam family "Bacterial small subunit ribosomal RNA", at positions 1 to 467 of the family's 1533-position model. The record is from RNAcentral.
UAGAGUUUGAUCCUGGCUCAGAUUGAACGCUGGCGGCAUGCCUUACACAUGCAAGUCGAACGGCAGCACGGGAGCAAUCCUGGUGGCGAGUGGCGAACGGGUGAGUAAUAUAUCGGAACGUGCCCAGUCGUGGGGGAUAACGUAGCGAAAGCUACGCUAAUACCGCAUACGAUCUAUGGAUGAAAGCGGGGGAUCGCAAGACCUCGCGCGAUUGGAGCGGCCGAUAUCAGAUUAGCUAGUUGGUGGGGUAAAGGCCCACCAAGGCGACGAUCUGUAGCUGGUCUGAGAGGACGACCAGCCACACUGGAACUGAGACACGGUCCAGACUCCUACGGGAGGCAGCAGUGGGGAAUUUUGGACAAUGGGCGCAAGCCUGAUCCAGCAAUGCCGCGUGCAGGACGAAGGCCUUCGGGUUGUAAACUGCUUUUGUACGGAACGAAAAGGUCUGCCCUAAUACGGC